GUCUGUUCCAUGGACUAUUCCCCAUGGGACAUUUAGAUUCAGCAACUCUAUUUCUGGAGAAUUGGUUGAGACGCCCCGUGAUGGCUGGAUUUGCAGGUUCUGAGAAAGAAGUCCUGUUGGUCUUGGGAGACAUGUACAGCAGGCCCAGGACAAUUUCCAGAUACUCAACCAGAUAAUGAAAUGUAAGGUAUAAUUCUGGGUAUCAGAUUCAAACAUGGGAGACACAUCUCCAAAUCUGCUUAUUCAUCUCUGCCUGCAGUGAAGCUUUAAAGACAGACAGAUUUGCUUAUAGAGACAGCCCAGGGAGGUAGCAACUACCACUCCAAUGUUACGCAGAAAUUCUCCAGAGUCCUGCAAUAACUAUUCCUGAAUGCAUCACUAUUCCUGAAUGCAUCACUAUAAUCUCUACAUUUACCUUCAGCCAUUCAGUUUUACUAUGGAAUAAUGGCCAAAUGAAAUGCAUUCUUAUAUCAAAGAAGACAAUUACCGCUAGAGAAAUCAAGAGCAAGAAGGUUGUUAGAUAUCUCAUCGAAUAAUGAUAUCUGAGAUUGUUCUGAUAUAAGGCAAAAAAAAAAAAGCAAAAAAAAAAAAAAGCUCAAGAGAAGAAGAAGUUCAAAAGAAGUUCAACAAGAUGUUGGUAUACCUGUGAAAAAGAAAUGAAAUGUGGUCUCACUCCAGUUUGAUAUCAGAGAACUCCAUUAAGUUAACUAUAGAAGCAUGUGAUAUGAUCAAUAUGAUCAGAGUGAAACAUCAAAGUGAAGACCAGUAGCUCUAGGACUGUCAAACACUUGCUGAGUGUCACAGAGAAGCAAUGAUUCUGGAAUCUGAAUACAACUGACUAAUGGUACGAAUGGUUAAUGACAU
Molecule: long non-coding RNA, 864 nt
Filed under: Gallus gallus (chicken)
Lineage: Eukaryota; Metazoa; Chordata; Aves; Galliformes; Phasianidae
Description: lncRNA (ENSGALG00010004318.1)
Source: RNAcentral